Molecule: long non-coding RNA, 637 nt
Organism: Bos taurus (domestic cattle)
Lineage: Eukaryota; Metazoa; Chordata; Mammalia; Artiodactyla; Bovidae
Source: Ensembl
GUAAAGAAUCCCUCUGCCAAUGUAGAAGUCACAGGAGACAUGGCUUCCAUCCCUGGGUUGGGAAUAUUUCCUGGAGGAGGAACUGGCAACCCACUCCAGUAUUCUUGCAUGGGAAAUUCCAUGAACAGAGGAGCCUGGUGGGCCACAGUCCACGGGGUUGCAAAGAGUCAGGCACGUCUGAGCAACUGAGCAUGCACACCGUAGCGGGGGCAUCCUGGGCUGACCUUGUGGCCCAGAAAUGUUUCCUCUUGAGCAGAAGCACAUCAGAGAGCAGGAAGCUAGGUGGAACCAAGUGUUGGACACAGGUGAAACGAGCCUGUGCGAUGAGAAAGUGAAGUUACGAACAUACAGGAGGUCCUGGUAAGGAACAUAGAACUAAUAAGCCACCAGCAACCGGAAGAGUUCAGGAAAGGUCAAAAGGAGACACUAUGUGUCUGACUACCUCCCUGAAUCCUUCUCACUGGCAUCCAUCUUGGCUGAGUGAUGCAUGUGCCACCAGGAAGGACUCUGAUUCAGAAUGAUUGGCUAAAGACAACCUGGAAACUAAUGCCAUCAACAUAAAACCCAAGAUUGCGAGCCACAUGGCAAAGCAGUCCUCCUGGGCUUCCUUACCCCACUGCUUUCUGCCCGGGCGCCC